GGGGGCGUAGCUCAACUGGUAGAGCGUCUCCUUUGCAAGGAGAAGGUCGCAGGUUCGAGUCCUGUCGCCUCCACCA
Molecule: transfer RNA, 76 nt
Filed under: Planctomycetota bacterium
Lineage: Bacteria; Pseudomonadati; Planctomycetota
Description: tRNA-Ala
Rfam family: tRNA
About the family: Transfer RNA (tRNA) molecules are approximately 80 nucleotides in length. Their secondary structure includes four short double-helical elements and three loops (D, anti-codon, and T loops).
Source: RNAcentral